GCAGGUUAAUCGUACAAGUAGAAGGACCCGCAAUGGCGGCGACGAUGGGUUUCUGAAUAAUCUCUUUUCGACGUUCCAACGGCAACGGUCGCGACCGUGUCGCUGACACCAUCAGGAGCCGGUGGCCUGCUGAAGAACCUAAUCGAUCUUGGCAUCAUCGUGUAGUGGUGACAUUUUCGAUUUUGAGGUAGCAGGGGCCUGUAGAAUUUUGACAUACCUUUGAUGGUAUACAUCUUGGAUUGAAUGAUAUGACCUGCUAUUCUGAAUGUUAGAUGGACAUCUCAAAAUAUGGCCUUAACAAACAUGAAAGCUCUUGAAUAAGUCAUACAGUAUUGGAUUGACAUUAUUUCGUUACAGUAUUUCUGAAUGUAUAUUGUUCUGAAUUUUUUUCAUCCUAAUGAUGUCUUAUAUGCAUGCGACGGGCUAACCUCUGUAUAUAGGUUGGCACGUCGCACUGGGUGAAGGCUGCAGAUCAUGCACUCGAGAUCAUCCACAAAACAUCAGGGAGAGGUUCUGUCGGCUGGAGCUUGUGGGAGUAUCACGUCGUGAUCGAGACCUGGGCGACCAUCUAUAUGGUAGGCAACUAGACUCACACCCAACUUUAUUUUUCCUUGUGCUGAUUUGAGGUUAGUUCAGUUCCAGGGGCAGGUGCUAAUUAAUGGACAGUCCAAGGAUGAAUGGGAGAGGUGGCUGCUGAUUACGGUUUGAUUUUGGUAAUUAUAUUUGGGUUCCUUGUUCGUUGCCGUUUUGUUGUGCUAGAUGUGGUAUAUGAUCCAUAAGAUAUUUAGAUAUUAGAUUAUUAUCACUGCAAUAGCAUCAGACCAAACUUGGUCUUUUCUCAUGUGCUAAAUCAAAGUAGGAAUCGGUUGUAGAAGUAGACAAGACUGCAACUAGCUUAAAGUUGGUUAGAUUAUGUAUAAAAGGGUAUUUCUGUUGUCUACUCUUUAGGUUCCCAUAGUGUGAGGUGGUAUUCCUUUUGAAAACACAUAUAAACUGGCAUCGAUAGUGAACAAUGGUGCUUCCUGUACGUAUAAACUGGAGCAGCAAUACUUAAACCUUUUACGUAAUAAAGCGUCCCGUUUCGCAAAAAAUAAACUGGAGCAGUAAUAUGAGGCUGAAGUAACCGACAUUAGCAACAAUAAUAUAAAUGUUUUCUGCACUGGGUCCGUGUGUCUCACAUGGAUGUUGAAUAGAUAAAAUGCUAUAAAGAUCAGCUUGCUUCUCAUGUAAUUGGAACGAUUGUGUGUCUUAGUUUUUCCUGUUUCCUUUGGUUUUGCAGCCAAGAUUUUUUUAGCACGUGCAUACAGAGCAGAACUGGAGCAUAAUAGUAGUUGAAAAAUGUUUUAGUGUAGUUUAUUAAAGAUUCCGUUUAUUUCUACAUUACGAAUGUAACUACUUAGUCAUUCUCAAAAAAGAAAAGAAACGAAUGUAGCUUACUUAGUCCACUGAGUUCCUUUAUGAUGUGUCCCUAAAGAAAGAGAGUUCCUUUAUGAUGUGUAGCACAUGUCCUUUACUGAUACGACAUAGUUUCUCAUUCUAGGUAACGGCAAGUGAAGCCAUGAAAGGCAUGUAUAUUGUACUACAGACAUGUAGCUUCAUGGUAUCUUUGUUGUGAUGUUCAUGUUCUCUUGGAAGAUUCUCUUACUAGAUUUAUGCUAGAUUUCACUAAAUCAUCUUUCUUUUACACAAGUACUAUGUAAGCUGUAUGUUUCCCAGGUUUGUUCAAAGUUUCUUGCACAUUCAGUAUUCAGUGCCCCUGCAUCUUAUUUUUUGCUCUUUCUUGUUGGAUGCGGGAUCACAUUCAGCUGUCCUCACAACUAUGAACUAUCUUCUUUGUUAUAUCGAAUAUUUUUCUCUACGCUCAUGCUUGUGAAUUGUAUGACGUUUUGACAGGUUAUAUGUGGGUUCCUUGUGCCGAUCAAAACACGGGUAGAUGCUAAUAAUAUUUUUGUUGACAUAUAUCCCUACUGGAAUUUUCAUGUACGCCGGGUGUAAUGCUCUUCGCCGAGUGCUAAAACACGGACACUCGGCAAAUCAAGCUUUGCCGAGUGUCACUCUCGGCAAACCCACCGUCACGGCAAACUGCCAUCUUUGCUGUCACUGCCUCACGGCAAAGAGGCACCGCACGGCAAAGUUGCAGACGCCGAGAGCCG
RNAcentral lists this long non-coding RNA (2153 nucleotides) under Triticum aestivum (bread wheat). RNAcentral describes it as "long non-coding RNA (TAES_LNC017509)". The record is from RNAcentral. Lineage: Eukaryota; Viridiplantae; Streptophyta; Magnoliopsida; Poales; Poaceae.